Molecule: transfer RNA, 86 nt
Filed under: Candidatus Sungiibacteriota bacterium
Lineage: Bacteria; Candidatus Sungiibacteriota
Description: tRNA-Leu
Rfam family: tRNA
About the family: Transfer RNA (tRNA) molecules are approximately 80 nucleotides in length. Their secondary structure includes four short double-helical elements and three loops (D, anti-codon, and T loops).
Source: RNAcentral
GCCCGGGUGGUGGAAUGGUAUACACGAAGGACUUAAAAUCCUUUGACCGUAAGGUCUUGCGAGUUCGAGUCUCGCCUCGGGCACCA